CGGGGGCGGGCUCCGGCUCCGGCGCGCGUUGCGAUUGGCGCGAUGACGACGCCGCCUCGAGCGUCGGGCGGGAGGCCAUUUUGGGGGCGGGAUCCCCUCGCGGCCCGCUCGGUCUUCCAGGGUGGGCGGCCCUUCGGCGGCCAUCUUAAGUAUGGGCAAAGGAAUGCGAGCGCGUGGAUGGGUCUUGGAAGCGAACGCGGCCGGCGGCGGAAGCCUGGCACGUGAGGAUGCCGCGGCCAUUUUGAGAACGGGCAUAUCGAAGUAUACAUGUUUCCACUGCUGUAAUAUUGUUGUAGCUGGAUCCCGAGUUCAGGUGCUGACAAUUCAACAACAAAACAAGCACACGGUCCUGGGGUUAGAUAAUUUUAGACCCUGGAUUGCAUAGUCUCUUUUGAGUCCCCCUAACAAAGGGGUAGGAAAAAUUCAAGAAAGGAUUCUUUGGUUUGGAGAACUAUGGAACUCCCUGCCACAAGGAAGUCGUUGUGGUAAAAGGAUUUAGCAAUUCCCAAAGAGGGGCUAGAUAUCCAUAGAAAAUGUGCUCCAUAAAAUGUGUUGGGGGUUGUUUUUAUUCUGAUUAUGUAUUUGGUGUUUUUAUAUUGUAUCCUGUGAGAACUGCAAGGUAUAGGGUGAUGAUAAUAGUAAUAAUAUUAAUAAUAAUAAGAAUAAUAAGAAUAAGAAUAAAUUUAAUGAUAAUAAUAAUAGGUUUUCCCAGUAGUGAUGUAUGGAAGUGAGAGCUGGACCAUAAAGAAAGCUGAUUGCCAAAAAAUUGAUGCUUUUGAAUUCUGGUGCUGGAGGAGACUCUUGAGAGUCCCAUGGACUGCAAGAAGAUCCAACCUCUCCAUUCUGAAGGAAAUCAGCCCUGAGUGCUCACGGGAAGGACAGAUCCUGAAGCUGAGGCUCCAAGACUUUGGCCACCUCAUGAGAAGAGAAGACUCCCUGGAAAAGACCCUGAUGCUGGGAAAGAUGGAGGGCGCAAGGAGAAGGGGACGACGGAGGACGAGAUGGUGGGACAGUGUUCUUGAAGCUACCAGAAUGAGUUUGACCAAACUGCAGGAGGCAGUGGAAGACAGGAGGGCCUGGCGUGCUCUGGUCCAGGGGGUCACGAAGAGGCGGACACGACCAAACGACUGAACAACAACAACAUGCCAAGCGCUGCCUCUUUGGGGCUGGCACUGCUCCUGCACCACCAUUUUGGGGGCCAGUGAGACUCAGUAAUUUUCUCCCAUCUCGGGUGGGCCCUGGAGAAAUUUCCAGCCGAAUUUGGGGGGGACCACCGUUGCAUUCAGCUAUUUCAAUUGCUUUUGUUCGAUUUGCUCAUUGCAGACAGCAGAAAGCCUGCCAAUUUCGAAAACAAACCCGGUUUGCAAUGGGGGUUGAAUAAUUUCGAUGGCAACUAUAGCUAUUGUCAACCGUGGAAGGGGAACUUAAGGCGCAGAAACCGGGAGAAAUGACUACAUGGUAGUUGGGGAAGGAGACCUGGGGGUGGGGAAUGAAGAAUGGGAGUGCAAGAAAGGCAUUUUAAAUUCAGUUCUCUUUGCUUUCAUUUCAGGCUCCCGUCUCCAGUUCACCAGCUGUUUGGCAGCAACAGCGCCGAAUGCUUAUUCUGUUACACGGCUGUAUUGGGUUUCGGCCGGGAGGGAUGUAAUUUCAAUUCCAGGUUGCCUUUCUUUGCCCUCCCCUCCACCCCCCAUUUAGCCGAGAGACUUGUGAACUUACGGGCCCGCAAGAGGCAGAAAUCUGGGUUCUGUGACCGAAAGGAAUCCUGGAAAACCAAGUGUGUUUCUCACUCGGAUCUCGUUGCGAACAUCAGGGGUUGUAGCUGUGAUAGGAAUUUUGAGGUCUUAGAUAUAUGGUAAUGUUCAUAAGUGUACCAACCAAGCACAUACAUAGAUCAGCACAGGAAGACCGACCUGAAACCAUUUUGAUUCCUAAACUGACCAAAUGAUUUCUCUGCACGGUCAAAGUGGGAAACCUCCCCAUUGUCUCUUCCCUCACAAAUCCUGUCUUAAGGGCACAUUUAAGAUAUGAAUAGGGUGUGAGCCUGUGUCCUGGCCCAGGAACUUAGUAUUUAUCAUUACAAAAAACUGGCCAGGCUCCCCAGGAAAUCCAGUCAAGUAACCUACCAGACAGGAGAAAAACAACAUUCAAAUUUCUGUUUUAGACUGCCUUUUCUGUGAUGUAGGUGUGAUGUAUCUGAGGGGUGGUCUUAGGUUACACCCCUUCUGUGAUGUAGGUAUGAUGUUUCUGGGGGUGGUCUUGAUCUACAGGGUGGCAAUUUCAAAAGUCUUUAUAAGGCCUUGUGCG
RNAcentral lists this long non-coding RNA (2304 nucleotides) under Podarcis lilfordi (Lilford's wall lizard). The record is from RNAcentral. Lineage: Eukaryota; Metazoa; Chordata; Lepidosauria; Squamata; Lacertidae.